This 1072-nucleotide long non-coding RNA is filed under the name Equus caballus (horse). Its description in RNAcentral is "lncRNA (ENSECAG00000057641.1)". The record is from RNAcentral. Lineage: Eukaryota; Metazoa; Chordata; Mammalia; Perissodactyla; Equidae.
GACAGUGUGCAUGCCUGACGGGCUGGCUUCCCGAGGCCUCCCCAAGGCUGGGCCUGGAAGCCGAUAGUGCUGGCUGCUCAGCUUUCUGUUCACGAGGCAAAUACUUAUGCAGCAGGUGUCAGGUGCUGGGGAUACAGCAAGGACAGCGUGGCCCGGCCCUGCCCCCGUGCAGCCUGUGGCCCAGGGCAGGAGACCACCAAUACACAGACAACCAGAUCACAGAUGGACGCCAGGCAGAGCAGCGGAGUGAAGAGGACUCGGCAGAGCCCAGCGACACCGGGCCAGGACAGGCCUGCAGCCCUCGGGAGAGCUGUGUCCGCCACGGUGGUGCAGCUGAGUGGCUGAUUUCAGCAUCUUUAAACAAAGCCUCCAGAUGGACCUCAGCUGCCGGGGAAGGCUGGACGGCUGCUCUGCUGGCACGCAGGGAUUUUCCGCUAAUUGGAUCCCCAGGGAAGGAGAAGAGCCACCAUCCUCAGCCAACCACCCAUCCGUCUAUCCAUCCAUCCAUCCACCCAUUCACUGAGAACCUGCAAGAUCAACACUCGAUUCCUACAGGAAUAGGAAGAAUGCUACAAUCCCAGCAACGAAGGAACAACCUCAGCUACACCGACUCUUUUCCAUGCUCAUUCUGACUUCUUUUUUACCCAAAUGGGUUCAUAGGACUCAGACUAUUUUCAAGCUGCUUUUUUUCACUCAACAGCAAAUGGCACUCAUCGUCCCAUGUAAGCAAACAGCUCUGCGGUUCUCUUUGGGGCCUGACAAGCAUGCUGCUGUGCUCUCCUGCUGCGGCGGAUUUAACCACUCCCUAUUGGGAUCCAGAUUGUUGCCAACUUUUAGUUAUUACAAGCUGCACUGCAGGGAAAUUCCAUGAAGCUAGGUCUUGGCACACGUCCUUUAUUCUGUCCUUAGGGCAUUUUCCGAGAAGUGGAAUUCCUAGGUCAGAGGGUGUGUACUUUUUUUUUUUGGCUGCACAUUUUUAAACUGUUUGAGAUGUAUUUGUGUGUGUGCGUUUCUGCAGGGUAUCUGUGGACCUGUGCCCAUAGGUUCACGCAGCCACCCAAGCAAAUCGUUG